GACUCCUACGGGAGGCAGCAGUAGGGAAUCUUCGCAUGGACGAAAGUCUGACGGAGCAACGCCGCGUGAACGAAGAAGGCCUUCGGGUCGUAAAGUUCUGUUGUUAGGGAAGAACAAGUACCAGAGUAACUGCUGGUACCUUGACGGUACCUAACCAGAAAGCCACGGCUAACUACGUGCCAGCAGCCGCGGUAAUUCGUAGGUGGCAAGCGUUGUCCGGAA
RNAcentral lists this ribosomal RNA (222 nucleotides) under Peribacillus simplex. Its description in RNAcentral is "Bacillus simplex partial 16S ribosomal RNA". It matches the Rfam family "Bacterial small subunit ribosomal RNA", at positions 334 to 550 of the family's 1533-position model. The record is from RNAcentral. Lineage: Bacteria; Bacillati; Bacillota; Bacilli; Caryophanales; Bacillaceae.